RNAcentral lists this transfer RNA (76 nucleotides) under Verrucomicrobiota bacterium. RNAcentral describes it as "Verrucomicrobia bacterium tRNA-Met". It matches the Rfam family "tRNA". Rfam says of the family: Transfer RNA (tRNA) molecules are approximately 80 nucleotides in length. Their secondary structure includes four short double-helical elements and three loops (D, anti-codon, and T loops). Further hydrogen bonds mediate the characteristic L-shaped molecular structure. tRNAs have two regions of fundamental functional importance: the anti-codon, which is responsible for specific mRNA codon recognition, and the 3' end, to which the tRNAs corresponding amino acid is attached (by aminoacyl-tRNA synthetases). tRNAs cope with the degeneracy of the genetic code in two manners: having more than one tRNA (with a specific anti-codon) for a particular amino acid; and 'wobble' base-pairing, i.e. permitting non-standard base-pairing at the 3rd anti-codon position. Lineage: Bacteria; Pseudomonadati; Verrucomicrobiota. The record is from RNAcentral.
GGGCCCAUAGCUCAGCGGUCAGAGCAGGCGACUCAUAAUCGCUUGGUCCCAGGUUCAAAUCCUGGUGGGCCCACCA